This 548-nucleotide ribosomal RNA is filed under the name uncultured bacterium. Its description in RNAcentral is "bacterial SSU rRNA". It matches the Rfam family "Bacterial small subunit ribosomal RNA", at positions 356 to 896 of the family's 1533-position model. The record is from RNAcentral.
GGGGAAUUUUGGACAAUGGGCGCAAGCCUGAUCCAGCCAUGCCGCGUGUCUGAAGAAGGCCUUCGGGUUGUAAAGGACUUUUGUCAGGGAAGAAAAGGCUGUUGCCAAUAUCGACAGCUGAUGACGGUACCUGAAGAAUAAGCACCGGCUAACUACGUGCCAGCAGCCGCGGUAAUACGUAGGGUGCGAGCGUUAAUCGGAAUUACUGGGCGUAAAGCGAGCGCAGACGGUUACUUAAGCAGGAUGUGAAAUCCCCGGGCUCAACCUGGGAACUGCGUUCUGAACUGGGUAACUAGAGUGUGUCAGAGGGAGGUAGAAUUCCACGUGUAGCAGUGAAAUGCGUAGAGAUGUGGAGGAAUACCGAUGGCGAAGGCAGCCUCCUGGGAUAACACUGACGUUCAUGCUCGAAAGCGUGGGUAGCAAACAGGAUUAGAUACCCUGGUAGUCCACGCCCUAAACGAUGUCAAUUAGCUGUUGGGCAACUUGAUUGCUUAGUAGCGUAGCUAACGCGUGAAAUUGACCGCCUGGGGAGUACGGUCGCAAGAUUA